RNAcentral lists this ribosomal RNA (433 nucleotides) under uncultured bacterium. RNAcentral's name for it is "partial 16S ribosomal RNA". It matches the Rfam family "Bacterial small subunit ribosomal RNA", at positions 29 to 507 of the family's 1533-position model. The record is from RNAcentral.
AGCGAACGCUGGCGGCAGGCCUAACACAUGCAAGUCGAACGGAUCCUUCGGGAUUAGUGGCGGACGGGUGAGUAACACGUGGGAACGUGCCCUUUGGUUCGGAACAACUCAGGGAAACUUGAGCUAAUACCGGAUGUGCCCUUCGGGGGAAAGAUUUAUCGCCAUUGGAGCGGCCCGCGUCUGAUUAGCUAGUUGGUGAGGUAACGGCCCACCAAGGCGACGAUCAGCAGCUGGUCUGGGAGGAUGAUCAGCCACACUGGGACUGGGACACGGCCCAGACGCCUACGGGAGGCAGCAGUGGGGAAUGUUGCGCAAUGGGCGAAAGCCGGACGCAGCCAUGCCGCGUGAAUGAUGAAGGUCUUAGGAUCGUAAGAUUCUUUCAGCGGGGACGAUAAUGACGGUACCCGCAUAAGAAGCGCCGGCUAACUUCGUG